UUCAAGAGUGACAGAACAGUGUAAUGAACUUAAAAUUCAUAAAUAAAGAAAUUUCCUUGAAA
RNAcentral lists this transfer RNA (62 nucleotides) under Cromna sinensis. RNAcentral's name for it is "tRNA-Leu". Lineage: Eukaryota; Metazoa; Arthropoda; Insecta; Hemiptera; Flatidae. The record is from RNAcentral.